GUGGUUGUGGAGUCGUCGUUGAAAUACCACUCUGGUCGUGCUGGAUGUCUAACCUGGGUCCGUGAUCCGGAUCAGGGACAGUGUCUGAUGGGUAGUUUAACUGGGGCGGUUGCCUCCUAAAGAGUAACGGAGGCGCCCAAAGGUUCUCAGCCUGGUUGGCAAUCAGGUGUUGAGUGUAAGUGCACAAGGGAGCUUGACUGUGAGACCGACGGGUCGAGCAGGGACGAAAGUCGGGACUAGUGAUCCGGCAGUGGCUUGUGGAAGCGCUGUCGCUCAACGGAUAAAAGGUACCCCGGGGAUAACAGGCUGAUCUUCCCCAAGAGUCCAUAUCGACGGGAUGGUUUGGCACCUCGAUGUCGGCUCGUCGCAUCCUGGGGCUGGAGUCGGUCCCAAGGGUUGGGCUGUUCGCCCAUUAAAGCGGUACGCGAGCUGGGUUUAGAACGUCGUGAGACAGUUCGGUCCCUAUCCGCUGCGCGCGUAGGAAUAUUGAGAAGGGCUGUCCCUAGUACGAGAGGACCGGGGACGAACCUCUGGUGUGCCAGUUGUCCUGCCAAGGGCAUGGCUGGUUGGCUACGUUCGGAAAGGAUAACCGCUGAAAGCAUCUAAGCGGGAAGCCUGCUUCGAGAUGAGUAUUCCCACCAACUUGAUUGGUUAAGGCUCCCAGUAGACGACUGGGUUGAUAGGCCAGAUGUGGAAGCCCUGUAGGGGUGGAGCUGACUGGUACUAAUAGGCCGAGGGCUUGUCCUCAGUUG
Molecule: ribosomal RNA, 752 nt
Filed under: Streptomyces sp. CS090A
Lineage: Bacteria; Bacillati; Actinomycetota; Actinomycetes; Kitasatosporales; Streptomycetaceae
Description: bacterial LSU rRNA
Rfam family: Bacterial large subunit ribosomal RNA
Source: RNAcentral